RNAcentral lists this small nucleolar RNA (204 nucleotides) under Melitaea cinxia (Glanville fritillary). RNAcentral's name for it is "misc RNA ENSMCXG00005022911.1". It matches the Rfam family "Small nucleolar RNA U3". From Rfam's summary of the family: Small nucleolar RNAs (snoRNAs) are involved in the processing and modification of rRNA in the nucleolus. The record is from RNAcentral. Lineage: Eukaryota; Metazoa; Arthropoda; Insecta; Lepidoptera; Nymphalidae.
AAGACCUUACUUCAUAGGAUCAUUUCUAUAGUAAGCGCUUCACGAGAUCUACACACUACGUGUGAUCGUACCGGCCGCGAUGAGGAGAUGUGGCGCGGCGCCCUGAGCGUGAGGCGGGCGGCGGCUCUGGCCGCCAGCCCUCGAUGAUCGUUCACUGCGCUCCCGAGGGAAUGCAGCGUGGGGCGUUGUCGCUGUCUGAGUGGC